GAUGAACGCUGGCGGCGUGCCUAAUACAUGCAAGUCGAGCGAACAGACGAGGAGCUUGCUCCUCUGACGUUAGCGGCGGACGGGUGAGUAACACGUGGAUAACCUACCUAUAAGACUGGGAUAACUUCGGGAAACCGGAGCUAAUACCGGAUAAUAUAUUGAACCGCAUGGUUCAAUAGUGAAAGACGGUUUUGCUGUCACUUAUAGAUGGAUCCGCGCCGCAUUAGCUAGUUGGUAAGGUAACGGCUUACCAAGGCAACGAUGCGUAGCCGACCUGAGAGGGUGAUCGGCCACACUGGUACUGAGACACGGUCCAGACUCCUACGGGAGGCAGCAGUAGGGAAUCUUCCGCAAUGGGCGAAAGCCUGACGGAGCAACGCCGCGUGAGCGAUGAAGGUCUUCGGAUCGUAAAACUCUGUUAUUAGGGAAGAACAAAUGUGUAAGUAACUAUGCACGUCUUGACGGUACCUAAUCAGAAAGCCACGGCUAACUACGUG
Molecule: ribosomal RNA, 497 nt
Filed under: uncultured bacterium
Lineage: Bacteria
Description: partial 16S ribosomal RNA
Rfam family: Bacterial small subunit ribosomal RNA
Source: RNAcentral